RNAcentral lists this ribosomal RNA (1420 nucleotides) under Lactiplantibacillus plantarum. RNAcentral's name for it is "bacterial SSU rRNA". It matches the Rfam family "Bacterial small subunit ribosomal RNA". The record is from RNAcentral. Lineage: Bacteria; Bacillati; Bacillota; Bacilli; Lactobacillales; Lactobacillaceae.
CAGUCGAACGAACUCUGGUAUUGAUUGGUGCUUGCAUCAUGAUUUACAUUUGAGUGAGUGGCGAACUGGUGAGUAACACGUGGGAAACCUGCCCAGAAGCGGGGGAUAACACCUGGAAACAGAUGCUAAUACCGCAUAACAACUUGGACCGCAUGGUCCGAGCUUGAAAGAUGGCUUCGGCUAUCACUUUUGGAUGGUCCCGCGGCGUAUUAGCUAGAUGGUGGGGUAACGGCUCACCAUGGCAAUGAUACGUAGCCGACCUGAGAGGGUAAUCGGCCACAUUGGGACUGAGACACGGCCCAAACUCCUACGGGAGGCAGCAGUAGGGAAUCUUCCACAAUGGACGAAAGUCUGAUGGAGCAACGCCGCGUGAGUGAAGAAGGGUUUCGGCUCGUAAAACUCUGUUGUUAAAGAAGAACAUAUCUGAGAGUAACUGUUCAGGUAUUGACGGUAUUUAACCAGAAAGCCACGGCUAACUACGUGCCAGCAGCCGCGGUAAUACGUAGGUGGCAAGCGUUGUCCGGAUUUAUUGGGCGUAAAGCGAGCGCAGGCGGUUUUUUAAGUCUGAUGUGAAAGCCUUCGGCUCAACCGAAGAAGUGCAUCGGAAACUGGGAAACUUGAGUGCAGAAGAGGACAGUGGAACUCCAUGUGUAGCGGUGAAAUGCGUAGAUAUAUGGAAGAACACCAGUGGCGAAGGCGGCUGUCUGGUCUGUAACUGACGCUGAGGCUCGAAAGUAUGGGUAGCAAACAGGAUUAGAUACCCUGGUAGUCCAUACCGUAAACGAUGAAUGCUAAGUGUUGGAGGGUUUCCGCCCUUCAGUGCUGCAGCUAACGCAUUAAGCAUUCCGCCUGGGGAGUACGGCCGCAAGGCUGAAACUCAAAGGAAUUGACGGGGGCCCGCACAAGCGGUGGAGCAUGUGGUUUAAUUCGAAGCUACGCGAAGAACCUUACCAGGUCUUGACAUACUAUGCAAAUCUAAGAGAUUAGACGUUCCCUUCGGGGACAUGGAUACAGGUGGUGCAUGGUUGUCGUCAGCUCGUGUCGUGAGAUGUUGGGUUAAGUCCCGCAACGAGCGCAACCCUUAUUAUCAGUUGCCAGCAUUAAGUUGGGCACUCUGGUGAGACUGCCGGUGACAAACCGGAGGAAGGUGGGGAUGACGUCAAAUCAUCAUGCCCCUUAUGACCUGGGCUACACACGUGCUACAAUGGAUGGUACAACGAGUUGCGAACUCGCGAGAGUAAGCUAAUCUCUUAAAGCCAUUCUCAGUUCGGAUUGUAGGCUGCAACUCGCCUACAUGAAGUCGGAAUCGCUAGUAAUCGCGGAUCAGCAUGCCGCGGUGAAUACGUUCCCGGGCCUUGUACACACCGCCCGUCACACCAUGAGAGUUUGUAACACCCAAAGUCGGUGGGGUAACCUUUAG